UCGGGUGUGGUGUACGGAACACACUUCUUGCGAUUUCAGUGUCAGUUUCAUCGAAGGAGAGAUCCGGGUUCGACUCCCGGUACCCGAA
Mycena leptocephala is the source of this 88-nucleotide non-coding RNA. Lineage: Eukaryota; Fungi; Basidiomycota; Agaricomycetes; Agaricales; Mycenaceae. The record is from the annotation of a GenBank genome assembly.